UUCAAACCUUUUUCUCUUCAUCUUUUCUAGCCUAAAUUUGUGUUCAUCAAGAAACACCUCCACCGGAGGUGUUUAUUGGCGAGUUUACCGGCGAGAAAAGAGGCAGCAGCCUCUCGAAAUCCUUCCCUGAUUAACCACCCUUCGAGAUAGCCAAACACCCUCCCUGGAUCUAUCUUGUUGCCGCCAAUCAUUUCCCUCAAGAGCUGCUGCAAAAACAGGAAGGAAAGUGGGCGAGAAAGCUGCCGGAAACAUCCCCCAACAACCCAUUUUUUGUCGACAGCCCUGUAGUGUUUUGGGUGAGUUUAUUCCACCUUAAAAGCCUGAAAUACUUGCUGUUUUGAACACCCUUGUGAAGUUUGAUAAUCUGAAACUAGAUUCGUUUAUUGUUGGUGAAGGUGUCGGGUCUUGAACGAAGCACAAACCUCACCAAAUCCUCCUUUCUAAACUCGAGAAUCACGCUCCAAAUGUGAGUUUUUAUGGCCCCGUUUUUACAUUUUUACUUGUUUGGGGGGAGAUACAUACUUCAGUAUUUUGAUAUAAUAUGAUGGCUAAAAAGUUUAUAUGUUACAUGCAUGCAUAGUUAAUACUACAUACAAAGACUAUUAAAGUCUAUGUUUAUUAUAAAUACUAUUUUUACAAAUAAAGUUUGUUAAAAAGGUGGUGAUUAGUAAUUGAUAUAUGCAAGAAUUUUAUAAAAUGUUAGACUUAUUUACAAGCACUUGUGUAAACAAAAAUGUUAGAUAAGAGUAAUCUAGUGUUAUAUUAUUUGUCGGAACAAAUAAAAAUAUCAUUAAGAACUUACGUCAAAAUUUUGAUAGAUGAACAUUUUUAACUUGUCAUGAUAGGUAUAACCAUAUGACUUAUGUAUAUAGGGGCAUUAAACUUAUUUUUCAUCAAGUAUUAAUAUUAAAUAAUUAAACGGGAUGAUAAAAUAAAAAUAUACAAAUGAAUUAUAAAAAGAUAUCAAGAGUAUGAGAAUAAACCACAAGUAGUUAUAUACUAUGGUAUAAUAUGAAAUCUCGCCGAUAAAUAAUGUGUAUGUAUUUUUAAGACUAAAGUUUACUUACAAACGAAAUUAAUAUGUUUUCAACACUAAGUGAAUAUUAAAAAUACAAAAAUAUUCGAUUAAAGCGACAACCGGUUAACUGACGUAACAUCGACAUGUAUGAAGUACUCGACUACGCUAACGGAACGUCCUUCCUAUCGGAUGGUAGAUUGAAAAUACUUGAGUUACCACCGUCUCAUUAUUCGAACGCUAAGUUAAAUUUAAUAUUUAACUAAAUGCACUAGCUAAAAAUAAGAUCUUAAUAAUUUAAGGUAUGCAUUGGUGAUCAUUGGAAGCGACGAAUUCUAUGAAUUAAGGAAUUGUCGUCAUGGAUUGUGCGGAUUGUGUAUCCCGUGUGUGCUUGUGAGAGGAUUUUAUCGAAAGAGGUGAAAGAGAAUUUUAUGAUGUUGUGUUUUUCCUUCGUAAGGAUCAAAUCCUGGAAUUGACACCUAGCUCUAUAACCGUUAAUCAAUGAGGGAUCAUAUACUGUAGAUCUAUGUACACGACAUAGAUUUAUAAUAAAGAACUUUGGUGUAGAUCUAUUCUUAUGGGAAGAUUUAUGCGAAUCGUAUUUUUCCGUCUGUGGUUGCUAGCUACAACUUCGUAUGACGAGGCAACAGGCGUCAAGUGUUUCUUUCUUCGUUACUAUAUGACUGCUUUUAAACGUUAGUAAUGAUCUCGAUUCCUCCAUUUUAUAUUAUAUUGUGCCUGUGUGGCUUGCGGAGGAGCGACAUAUAGUGUCGGUUAUAGGCAUAUUGAUAUAUUGAAUACUUUUAUUCGAAGGAGUAUAGAUCUAGAUUGAAUCAAUUCUCCCAAUUUGGGGUCGAGAGUGUCGAGUGUAUAGGGUGUUAUCUACCUCUCCUUGCGACAUUACUCUUCGUAAUCGGACAAGAUCCAAAUAAUAAAAAUUGUUAUGAGGAUGACUAAUCCUUAUCAUUAAAGAGUGUUUGAAUAAUAAAAUAUGCGUCAUAAUUUACCAGUUUUUUUUUGGAAAAAUUAUUUUGGAUUAUAAAUUUUUCAGAGUCAAAAGAAAACCUAUAAAGCUCAACAACAUUAUUGUUGACGUAUUUCCAAAAUGUAUGUAUCUCUAGGUGUUCAUGGUGGCCGGAAGAACUCUCAUCCCGUGUGAGGAUGAAGGAAUUGACGUUGAAAAUAAACUGUCGGCUCUAUAGUAGCCUUUUGUUUCUUUUAUGUUGUAAGAAAUCAAAACCCGCGUAUAACGCUUAUGGAUUAUUAAAUGGUGUAUUUUGUCAUACUCAGGCUUCGGAAGAAUGUAAUAUCGUAUAAAUUCUGUUAUUAUUUCAUUAUAUGUUGUUGCCUAUGAGCCAAACGUUUAAGUCGCAACCCCGGCGUUUCCGUCGUUGGUCGGGGUGUGACAGAUUGGUAUCAGAGCUAACGACUAUAGCGAAUUAGUACUUUCCUCAAAAGAGAAAAACUAUAGUCUACGAGCUUACUCUAAUAGGUUCAAGUAUUCCAAAACCUAUAUCAUACCCGAUGACUAUUUGUAUGCUAUGUAUAUUAUCUGUGUAUGUGUUUAUAUGUUUUCCGAGCUCAACUCAAUGAUUGGGCGGGGCCCUGAUGACCGGGCGGGGCCCAUUGUAUGUUUACUAUAUGUUUGGUAUGUGGUAUUCGGGGAACUUACUAAGUUUUGUGCUUACGGUUUUCUGUUUAUGUUUCAGGUACUCCAGUUUUCAAAUGAAAGAGCUCGGGACAAUCGCAGCGCAUACACCCGUAUUUUUCCGCAAUAUGCGAUCUUUGGGAGCGAACACUGAUAAUUGUUUUAUUUGGAACGUUUUUAAAUGUUUUGUCAAAGUUAAAAUAGUGUUUUGAUUAUAAUAAAAAUGAAAGCUUUAGCCUGGA
RNAcentral lists this long non-coding RNA (2905 nucleotides) under Lactuca sativa (garden lettuce). Its description in RNAcentral is "long non-coding RNA (LSAT_LNC002204)". The record is from RNAcentral. Lineage: Eukaryota; Viridiplantae; Streptophyta; Magnoliopsida; Asterales; Asteraceae.